UGCGUAGGUGGUAUGGCAAGUCAGAAGUGAAAACCCAGGGCUUAACUCUGGGACUGCUUUUGAAACUGUCAGACUGGAGUGCAGGAGAGGUAAGCGGAAUUCCUAGUGUAGCGGUGAAAUGCGUAGAUAUUAGGAGGAAUACCGGAGGCGAAGGCGGCCUGCUGGACAAAUACUGACGCUGAGGCGCGAAAGCGUGGGAGCAAACA
RNAcentral lists this ribosomal RNA (206 nucleotides) under uncultured bacterium. RNAcentral describes it as "partial 16S ribosomal RNA". It matches the Rfam family "Bacterial small subunit ribosomal RNA", at positions 568 to 774 of the family's 1533-position model. The record is from RNAcentral.